RNAcentral lists this ribosomal RNA (419 nucleotides) under uncultured eukaryote. Its description in RNAcentral is "bacterial SSU rRNA". It matches the Rfam family "Eukaryotic small subunit ribosomal RNA", at positions 592 to 1018 of the family's 1831-position model. The record is from RNAcentral.
CAAUAGCGUAUAUUAAAGUUGUUGCAGUUUAAAAGCUCGUAGUUGGACUUCUGAUGUGGGACUGCGCCCCGGUAUUUUGCCGUUGGGUGCGGGCUCGCGUCUUCCUCUCGUAGUUGGAUGGUGCACUUAACUGGGUGCCUUCUGAAUAUGGGACCUUUACUUUGAAAAAUUAGAGUGUUCAAAGCAGGCAAUCGCUUGAAUACAUUAGCAUGGAAUAAUAGAAUAGGACUUUGGUUCUAUUUUGUUGGUUUCUAGUACUGAAGUAAUGAUUGAUAGGGAUAGUUGGGGGUGCUAGUAUUGGCCAGCCAGAGGUGAAAUUCUUGGAUUCGGUCAAGACUAACUUAUGCGAAAGCAUUCACCAAGGAUGUCUUCUUUAAUCAAGAACGAAAGUUGGGGGAUCGAAGAUGAUCAGAUACCGU